AUACUUACCUGGCAGGGGAGAUACCAUGAUCAAAAAGGUGGUUUUCCCAGGGUGAGGCUCAUCCAUUAUGCUCAGGUGUGGUGAGCCCUACUAUUUCCCCAAAAUGUGGGAAACUCGACUGCAUCAUUUGUCUAAAU
Molecule: small nuclear RNA, 137 nt
Filed under: Physeter macrocephalus (sperm whale)
Lineage: Eukaryota; Metazoa; Chordata; Mammalia; Artiodactyla; Physeteridae
Description: Physeter catodon (sperm whale) U1 spliceosomal RNA (ENSPCTG00005018253.1)
Rfam family: U1 spliceosomal RNA
About the family: U1 is a small nuclear RNA (snRNA) component of the spliceosome (involved in pre-mRNA splicing). Its 5' end forms complementary base pairs with the 5' splice junction, thus defining the 5' donor site of an intron.
Source: RNAcentral